This 775-nucleotide long non-coding RNA is filed under the name Rattus norvegicus (Norway rat). RNAcentral's name for it is "long non-coding RNA NONRATT000634". The record is from RNAcentral. Lineage: Eukaryota; Metazoa; Chordata; Mammalia; Rodentia; Muridae.
UCCCAGUCUACGCAACGUCAUUCCUCCCGUGGGUUCAUCGGGUGGGCAUUGUGUCCUUGAAUCAGCCCAGUUUGCCCCCUAGAACCUAACUUCCCCAGGCAGUGUCUAUAAUUGUAAGUCAGCCCCUCACCGGAUGCUUUCUGCUAAGCUUCUCUGACCCAAGGGAAAGAAUGCCCAGGAGCCCGGAGCCCUAGGAAACCAAGACCAAGAGGUAGAAUUGGAGAAGAAAUUGAUCAUUUAGAGGGAGGGCCAAAAGUUGCUGUUGGAAUCGGAGAGACGGCAUAUCACUUAAGAGUGCUUACAGCUCUUACUGAGGACUGGAGUUUCGUUCCCAAGUCAGAUGACUCACAACUGCCUGUAACUUCAGCUCCAGAGGAUCCAGUGGUUUUUUCUGGUCUCCACUGGCGUCUAAAGAAGAACAGGAGUAUCAGGAGGUCAAAGCCAGAUAGGACUACAGAGGGGAUUGUAGGUCAGCCUCGGCCACAGAUUGAGACUGGACAAACAAAAGAGAACCAGGACAGUUCCGAGUUUACAGGGCAUUCUGUCUGUGGUCAGAGUCAGCAGCAGGAACCAUCCUUGUUUUCUCUUGUCUCUGAGAUGCUGUGGGGGCUCAGAUCCCUACUUCUGCUGCAUUUGGGGUUCCUUUCUCCAGUUUUGGUUGAUACCAAGAAGACAGCAGUGGAAGAUGGUCUAUGCAGUACAGUCCCUUGUGUGAUUGAAUUUUCCAAGGCGCCUCUCAGAAAACCCAUGAUUGUGAGCUAUAGGCUUAAUGAAA